Molecule: ribosomal RNA, 408 nt
Filed under: uncultured bacterium
Lineage: Bacteria
Description: partial 16S ribosomal RNA
Rfam family: Bacterial small subunit ribosomal RNA
Source: RNAcentral
AGUGAACGCUGGCGGCGUGCCUAAUACAUGCAAGUCGAACGAAGUGGCGCACGGGUGAGUAAUAUAUAGUUAAUCUGCCCUACACAGAGGAACAACAGUUGGAAACGACUGCUAAUACAUCACAGUGUAGGAUGAGACGAUAUCGUAUCAGCUAGUUGGUAAGGUAAUGGCUUACCAAGGGUAUGACGCGUAACUGGUCUGAGAGGAUGAUCAGUGACAGUGGAACGGAGAGACGGUCCAAACUCCUACGGGAGGCAGCAGGAAGGAAGAGUGUGCAAGGGUGGAAACCCUGAUGCAGCAACGCCGCGUGCGUAAUGACGGCCUUCGGGUUGUAAACGGCUUGCAGCCAUGACGCGGUAGUGGCAGAAGAAGCACCGGAGAACUACGUGCCAGCAGCCGCGGUAAUAC